CCUANGGGUGGCUGCAGUCGAGGAUCUUCCGCAAUGCGCGAAAGCGUGACGGAGCGACGCCGCGUGGGUGAUGAAGGCCUUCGGGUUGUAAAGCCCUGACACCUGGGAAGAAUGGCGGGAGGUGAAUAGCCAUCUCGCUUGACGCUACCAGGAGAGGAAGCACCGGCUAAAUACGUGCCAGCAGCCGCGGUAAUACGUAUGGUGCGAACGUUGUUCGGAAUCACUGGGCAUAAAGAGCACGUAGGCGGUUGAGCAAGUCCAUUGUGAAAUCCCCCGGCUUAACCGGGGAACUGCUGUGGAUACUACUUGACUUGAGUGCAGGAGGGGAGAGUGGAAUUCCAGGUGGAGCGGUGAAAUGCGUAGAUAUCUGGAGGAACGCCGGUGGCGAAAGCGACUCUCUGGUCUGCAACUGACGCUGAGGUGCGAAAGCUAGGGGAGCAAACGGGAUUAGAUACCCCGNUANUC
RNAcentral lists this ribosomal RNA (465 nucleotides) under uncultured bacterium. RNAcentral describes it as "bacterial SSU rRNA". It matches the Rfam family "Bacterial small subunit ribosomal RNA", at positions 338 to 795 of the family's 1533-position model. The record is from RNAcentral.